AAAAAAGAGAAAGAAAAGAAAAUAAAGAUUAAUGACAUCAUUCAUGACAUCAUAAAGCUAUAAUUAAAAUUUAGGAAAUUAUGGGAUAAAUACAAUACAAAAGGGACCAAUUAAAAUUAAAGGAUAAAAAAAAAAGAAAAAACAAAAUAGUUAUCUUCUUCUUCAACCUCCUUGCUGCCCCAUUUUAUUCAUUUCUCUCUUCUCUCUUUCUUUCCACCAUUAACAACACUACCAAGCUCUAACACUCCCAUUUCUUCCAUAAACCCCAUGCUAAAUUAAUAGAAAACAUUCAAUUGACACUUGAUAGGAAGAACUGAAGCAAAAGAAACAAGAAAUUUGGAAGCAUUUUGAGAAUUGGAAAAGCUCCAUGAAAGUAGAAAAGAAUACCGGAAAAGAACCCGAGACAUCGAGUCAAGGCCAAGAGGCGACUCGUAUAAGGUGAAAGGAAUAAUAAAGCAGCAGAGCAAGAUUUCUGAAAAGACAUAGUGAGACUAACUUCGGAUAUAUCAUAGGUAUACCCUUGUACCUUAGAUUUUGAUGUAAUUCUGUAAUUAUAUGUAUGAAAUUUCCUUUGAGCAGUUGUACCAACUCUUUUGUAAUAUAUUUUUGGAUUGUAAUCAAAUACAAAAUUAUUGUAAUAUUAUCUUGAGAUUCUAUGUACUUAUAAA
Long non-coding RNA from Hevea brasiliensis (rubber tree), 668 nucleotides. RefSeq lists it as uncharacterized. The transcript is spliced from 3 exons. NCBI's taxonomy places the organism in Eukaryota, Viridiplantae, Streptophyta, Magnoliopsida, Malpighiales, Euphorbiaceae. The record is from RefSeq and is a predicted model, not a curated record.